ACUACGGGUGGCAGCAGUGGGGGAUAUUGCACAAUGGGGGGAACCCUGAUGCAGCGACGCCGCGUGGGUGAAGAAGCGCCUCGGCGCGUAAAGCCCUGUCAGCAGGGAAGAAAAUGACGGUACCUGAAGAAGAAGCCCCGGCUAACUACGUGCCAGCAGCCGCGGUAAUACGUAGGGGGCAAGCGUUAUCCGGAUUUACUGGGUGUAAAGGGGGCGCAGACGGCGAUGCAAGCCAGGAGUGAAAGCCCGGGGCCCAACCCCGGGACUGCUCUUGGAACUGCGUGGCUGGAGUGCAGGAGGGGCAUGCGGAAUUCCUGGUGUAGCGGUGAAAUGCGUAGAUAUCAGGAGGAACACCGGUGGCGAAGGCGGCCUGCUGGACUGCAACUGACGUUGAGGCCCGAAAGCGUGGGAGCAAACAGGAUUAGAUACCCCAGUAGUC
RNAcentral lists this ribosomal RNA (439 nucleotides) under uncultured bacterium. Its description in RNAcentral is "partial 16S ribosomal RNA". It matches the Rfam family "Bacterial small subunit ribosomal RNA", at positions 338 to 795 of the family's 1533-position model. The record is from RNAcentral.